This 23-nucleotide non-coding RNA is filed under the name Rattus norvegicus (Norway rat). Lineage: Eukaryota; Metazoa; Chordata; Mammalia; Rodentia; Muridae. The record is from RNAcentral.
UUCUUUAAGAUGCUACCGUGGUC